UCCCUGGUGGCUCAGAUGGUAAAGCGUCUGCCUACAAUGCAGGAGACUGGGGUUCAAUCCCUGGGUUGGGAA
RNAcentral lists this transfer RNA (72 nucleotides) under Odocoileus virginianus texanus. It matches the Rfam family "tRNA". Rfam says of the family: Transfer RNA (tRNA) molecules are approximately 80 nucleotides in length. Their secondary structure includes four short double-helical elements and three loops (D, anti-codon, and T loops). Lineage: Eukaryota; Metazoa; Chordata; Mammalia; Artiodactyla; Cervidae. The record is from Rfam by way of RNAcentral. RNAcentral also lists the same sequence under 1 other name.